This 482-nucleotide small RNA is filed under the name Pongo abelii (Sumatran orangutan). RNAcentral's name for it is "processed transcript". Lineage: Eukaryota; Metazoa; Chordata; Mammalia; Primates; Hominidae. The record is from RNAcentral.
AGUGCGGUUUCGCCUUUAUGGUGGUGGAGUACGCCCAAGCUGUGGGACUAUCAGUCCUCCCUGUGCAGCCAGUUCAGAGAGGCUGCACACUCUCUCGGCUCACUGCAACCUCUGCCUCCAGGGUCAAGCAGUUCUCCUGCCUCAGCCUUCCGAGUACCUGGGAUUACAGAUUCAUAAGAUGCCCUGAGGUGAUCUUGGCAUCACGGAAGGUAUGCACAUCACACCAUCAGCUUCAGAGAAUGGCAGCCAUUUAUUUGUCCCGUGGGUUUUUUUCCAGGGAACCAAUCUGCCCUUUUGAAGAAAAGACAGAGGUAGAAAGGAUGGUGGAGGACUACCUGGCAAACGGUUAUCAGGUAUCUGCAGUGUGCUGAGGAGUGUGCUGCAUAGACACCAAUGGGACAGGAAGAGCUCCUAACCUGGUUGUGCUGAGAUCAAGCAUAAGCAGUGUGCAGUGGCUCAUGCCUGUAAUUCCAGCUACUCAG